AUUGAACGCUGGCGGCAUGCCUUACACAUGCAAGUCGAACGGUAACAGGUCUUCGGAUGCUGACGAGUGGCGAACGGGUGAGUAAUACAUCGGAACGUGCCCGAUCGUGGGGGAUAACGCAGCGAAAGCUGUGCUAAUACCGCAUACGAUCUACGGAUGAAAGCGGGGGAUCGCAAGACCUCGCGCGGACGGAGCGGCCGAUGGCAGAUUAGGUAGUUGGUGGGAUAAAAGCUUACCAAGCCGACGAUCUGUAGCUGGUCUGAGAGGACGACCAGCCACACUGGGACUGAGACACGGCCCAGACUCCUACGGGAGGCAGCAGUGGGGAAUUUUGGACAAUGGGCGCAAGCCUGAUCCAGCCAUGCCGCGUGCAGGAUGAAGGCCUUCGGGUUGUAAACUGCUUUUGUACGGAACGAAAAGCUCUCUCUAAUACAGGGGUGAAUGACGGUACCGUAAGAAUAAGCACCGGCUAACUACGUGCC
Molecule: ribosomal RNA, 482 nt
Filed under: uncultured bacterium
Lineage: Bacteria
Description: bacterial SSU rRNA
Rfam family: Bacterial small subunit ribosomal RNA
Source: RNAcentral